CCUACGGGAGGCAGCAGUGGGGAAUAUUGGACAAUGGGCGCAAGCCUGAUCCAGCCAUACCGCGUGUGUGAAGAAGGCCUUUUGGUUGUAAAGCACUUUUAAGCGAGGAGGAGGCUCUUGAGGAUAAUACCCUUGAUGAGUGGACGUUACUCGCAGAAUAAGCACCGGCUAACUCUGUGCCAGCAGCCGCGGUAAUACAGAGGGUGCGAGCGUUAAUCGGAAUUACUGGGCGUAAAGCGCGCGUAGGCGGCUUGUUAAAGUCGGAUGUGAAAUCCCCGGGCUCAACCUGGGCACUGCAUUCGAUACUGGCAAGCUAGAGUAUGGGAGAGGAAGGUAGAAUUCCAGGUGUAGCGGUGAAAUGCGUAGAGAUCUGGAGGAAUACCGAUGGCGAAGGCAGCCUUCUGGCCCUAAUACUGACGCUGAGGUGCGAAAGCAUGGGGAGCAAACAGGAUUAGACUACCCGUGGUACGUCCAUGACCGUAAACGAUGUCAACUAGCCGGUUGGGGACCUUGUAGUCUUAGUUGGUCGCGNGCUACGCGAGUAGUUAGACCGCCGUCGGGAGGUACGGUCGGCGAGACGUAAACCGUACGAAGAAGUAGUUAGGACGGCGGAGGAGACGCGACGGACGGACGACCGACGGGAGGGGAGGUUAGG
This 655-nucleotide ribosomal RNA is filed under the name uncultured bacterium. Its description in RNAcentral is "bacterial SSU rRNA". The stretch from base 1 to 555 matches the Rfam family "Bacterial small subunit ribosomal RNA", at positions 338 to 873 of the family's 1533-position model. The record is from RNAcentral.